RNAcentral lists this long non-coding RNA (738 nucleotides) under Gossypium barbadense (sea-island cotton). RNAcentral describes it as "long non-coding RNA (GBAR_LNC016281)". Lineage: Eukaryota; Viridiplantae; Streptophyta; Magnoliopsida; Malvales; Malvaceae. The record is from RNAcentral.
CCAUCUUCUACCCUUACAUCCCCACGCAUACCAGUCAAGAAAAUCGCUUCACAUGUUCUAGUUUGAAACGAUUCAACGAAAAUGCUAGCUCUCAUCUGUAGAGCCCAAAUAUGCCCGGGCCCAAUAAAAUUAACUCUAGCCCAAUAACCCUUACAAAACAUAAGCUAAACCCAGACCCAACUACACCUGAAAUGGCCCAAACACAAAAACUUCAGAAACCCUAAGUAGCCGCCACCCUCAAGCGCCCCAGCAGUCUCUAGCCACCGCAGGUUUCGGCCUCCACUCAUGCCGUUUCUCCGCAAACACCGCUCCUCAACCACGUACCUGCAACAAGCGAAAGAGAAGAGCAAAAAAAUCGGGCCAACAAACAACCGAGUAGAUUUAUUAGGAUUUAUUUUUCUUUCUCUUUUCUUUCCCAUUUUCGGCUAUAAAAGAGCCGAUUAAGCACUGUAAAUGGGGGAUUUUGCAGGGUAAAAACACAAACAGAAAUCAGAGAAAAGAUUAAAAGUACAGAUUCGAUUUUUUAACAAAGGUUUUUUUCCGUCUUAUUUAAUUGGUGUUCGUCAUUUACGUUUCUUUUUUUCCUUUUUUAUUUCGUUUAAAAUAUAAAAAAAAAGAAAGGAAGCUUACCUCUUUCGCCGGAGUCGUCGAUCGGCGCCACCUCCGUCGCAAUCGGAGCUGUGGCGCACGGUGGAACGGGCGACGCGGUGGCUUAGGUUUAGAACCCUAGCAGAGAAC